This 4533-nucleotide unclassified non-coding RNA is filed under the name Dimorphilus gyrociliatus. Its description in RNAcentral is "c2 domain-containing protein". Lineage: Eukaryota; Metazoa; Annelida; Polychaeta; Dinophilidae. The record is from RNAcentral.
AGUUCUGGUUCCGGUGUAAACACGACUGGUUAGUUGAUUUGCUCAUUCUUAAACUUAUCGGUCAUCCUCUUACGAAAAAGUACCUCUGAUAAGCCUUAUCACUUUUCGUUAAUUGUUUGAAUAAUUAUGACUUAUAUUUAAAAAAAGUUCAUCUGGUUGUUAACAACUUUGUUUGUCAAGUAGGCGUUGACCAGAACGAAUUGGUUUUAUCAAUAAGAUUUGAUUAUUGAUAUUUGGAAGAAGAGAAGAUGUGGGAUCCAACACACGUGAAAGUAACUGGUUAGUCAUUUUAAAUAUUUAUAUACGAUAUGAAUUUAUACGGCUAAUAAUUUAAUCGGAAUGUUUGUAAUGAGAACAUUCUUUUCUGUCUUUUGAAAAAAAAAGGAACGUUCUAUUCCUUUGAAUCGACAUAGAUUUGUUAUUUCUAUCAUUUAAGUAAAGAUAUUUAUGAUAUUCUUAAUCUAAUGAUGAACAGUUAAACAUUAAUUUAAAAAUAAUAAUCUUAUUAAAGCAAAAAGUUAAAAAUAGCUAUUUGUGUCACGAUGAAUGAGAAUGUCGAAAAAAGGCAUGGAACGUUUAGUUAUUCAAGCUCGAAGCUUGCUAGAAAAAAAGUCAAAGGGAAACGAUGUAUACGUUGUCAUCUCUCUGGGGAAGGAGAAAUAUCGUACCUCUGUUCAAGAACAAACAAAGUCCCCUUAUUGGAACGAAGAAUGUGACCUAGUCAUUCCUCAAGAUCGAAAGCCAUUAAAACUCAAAGUUUUUCAUCGUAGUCUGUCAGCAUUAUCCAGUGAUGAUUUCUUAGGACAAGCACUAAUUCCCAUUCAAGACAUUGAUAUGGACGCUCAACCACGUGCAAAGUGGUAUACGCUAGAAAGUAAACCCUCUAAAAAGGCUGCUGUAAAGGAAAGAGGAGAAUUAGAAGUUAAAAUCUCUUUUAUUGUUAAAUCUCAGAUAGAUAGCUCAAAAUUAUCUGCAGGCCCUCUCGGUAAACGUACAUUGAGUUCAACGUCAAUUGGGAAAAUUAAGAAGCGUAGCGGUAGCUUAUUAUCGCUGUCUAAGAAAGCCACCUCAGGCAGUGUUCGUAAUCUGGCGUCCUCCGUUGGUAAAGUGUUUACACUAGGUAGAAAGAAGGAUAAAAAUAAGGCUUCUGCUGAUAGCGCAAGCGUCACGUCGUCGAUUGACGGAAGAGACAGUGAUCUUGAGAGAGAUAUCAAUACUAAUCCAUUUGAAGACGAUACGUCCUUUGGUGAAAAAGCGGAGGAACCACCAAAAAAAGGCUCUCCUAUAUGGGGGAAAAAGAACAAUGGUGGUUUAAGCGCUACAAAAUCUGGAAAAGGAUCAAAUAACUCAUCAAGAAGAGCUUCCGAUCAGUAUGAUUAUCCUGAUACAAAUCCGUUUGAAAUUGAAAUGAAUGGAACUAAAGAUCAUAGCAAUGAAAAUAAGACAACAAAUGGAAAAAAAUCUCAAUCGAAUAACUUGAACGAUUCCAAAUCAAGUCCCGAAAAGGAAAGUUUUGGAUCUCCGACUUCACCAACGGGUAAGUAAAAAGGUUUCUUUUUUUUCUUUUCAAGUUGAGGCUACAAUUACUUUUGUAAAAAGUUUAUAUUUUAACUAAUUGAAAUGUAAUUUAAAAGUACAUUUUUAAACGCUAUACUAAAUAAUGAAAGACAUACUUAGAUCAUCUAAUUCCCAAGUGGCAAUAGUCAAAAGUCUACUAAUAUUAACCUAGUUUUAGUAUUAUAAUUUAUAUAUGUAAUAUACAGUAUAUACACUAAUGUAUAGUUUAUGUACAUUUCCAAUCGACUUGUCAGUUGUUUUAUUUAUCUAUUAUUUUUCACUUUUUUUUCGUUAUAUGAACUGCAGUCGGUAAAAGUGAAAAUUCUAAUAAAGGUUAGUUUUAAAAAUAGUACCUUUUUUCGCCAUUUAUCCAUUAGCAUUAUGAUUACUAUGAUAGCUGUCUAUCUCUUUUAUAACUCUUUAUCAAUACGAUUGAUAUAUAAUUAAUAUAGGCCUGGCUUCAAACGUUGGUAUCCAGGCGGUUGCUGAAUCAAAGGUUGCUUGUAAUCAAACAAUUGAUGGUAAGUUGACUCCAUAUAUAACAUAUUUUUUCUAGGGUCGAUACCUUGACGAAGGUAAUAAGAAUAUAAAUAGUCGGAAAGUGUAGUCUAGUUAAAAUAGAUAAUGAAAAAAAGAUAGAACUAUAUUCUACAUAGAAAAUUUCUCUUAAAAUCACAAAAACAAAAAAAACGUCUUGUUUCUAAUAGCAGUAGAAUAAAUUACUUUAUUAACCCUACUUUAUUCUCCCGUCUUAAUUGUUUGUUUUGAUUAGACAUAUCGAAGAAAGACUCGCCACCAGCUAAAGGUAAUACUGGUAAGUGUUUUUUUUUUGUUUGUUUUUCUUAGGAUUUUAGCAACGAACUGCAGAUCAUUAAUAAGAUUAUUAUUUUUGAUAUUUGCAGUCUCGAGUUUUAUUUAUUUAUUUUUUUACAUGUACGCAUUCACAUUUUUUUAUUUAUACAUGUACAUACAUUGUGUUGGUAUUUAUUGUGUUGAAUUAGCAGAAAAUGACAUUGAUGCAAGUCAAUCACGUAGUAAGUAGUGCGUGAAAUUUUGCUAUAAAACUUGCAAAAGCCUACUUUUAUAUAAAUAUCUUUAUAUUAAAAUUAUAUACAUCUUAUUCUUAAUUCAUUAAUUUUCAAGCUACUUUUAGCUUUAAAAAAACGAUAUUUGUAGCUUUUUUUAUUUUAUUUUUUUUCCGCUAACGAAAAUUUUCUACACGCUUUUUUUUCUUUCUUUUUUUUUUAUCAGACAAUGAUAGAAAACCAUUCAAACGAAAAAACCAUUUAAUCUCAUCGUCAUUUUUAAUUGAAUGUAUGAUUUAUUUUUUAUCCUUUUUUUAUUUUGGGCACCAGCUUAUUAAGUUAUUUUUUGAAGUUUUUUUUGUAUAUUUUAAAUUGUUAUACCCAAAAAGAGACAAAGAAAUUAAAAAUAAGCUGUAAAAAGUUCAUAGGUACAGCUAAAAGGUUGAUAGGCCCUUUGGUCUUGAAAAAAGAUUAAACCUGUAAAACAAAUCUUUAAAGUAGAACAGAUUUUAAAAUUAGUUUGUAUUUAAAAAGAAAGACUUUGGAAAGUGAUAUUCUUUUUCUAACUAUGAAAUAUCUGUCUUCCUUUUUUUAUGCUUCAUUUUCGCUUGUUAAUAAUAACUUUGUCUUGUAUAUACUGUCUAUAGUAUUUUUGCAUUUAGUAUCUUAUCAUAAUACAAAUGAUUUCAUCUUACCAAAGGCGCGAGGGGAUCUUUUGCAAAAUUAAUCAAACUACCCGAUAAUGAUAAGAAAGUUAAAGCCAGCUACCUUGACCUAACUCGAGACGUAAGUUAUAACAAGUCUAUCUUCCUUUUCUUAAGCAACAAAGAGGAAAAGAAUUAAAAAUAGGCGAGGCUACGUUGCAAUUAAUUUGAUAUAUUUAAGUCGUAAAAUAGACAUUUCCCUUCCUCCUUUGUUCUAAGUGUCCUUAAAAAGGCCUUUCUCCUAUUUCAGGAACUAAUAAGUCUACUUAUGGCAAAGGAUGAAGAAAUAGACACAUAUCGUGUUAAAGUGGAUGAUUUAUGCGCCAAACUGAUGUUGGCAAAUCCGGCUCUGCUCGAGAUCAAGCCUACUCGACCUGUAACCAGAGGUCAUAGAGUUUCUACUUCUUGUGGAAGAAUAGAUUUCAGCUGAGCAUAUCAUUUAUUUUUCUUCAUUUAAUCGUCAUCUUUUUUUAUUUGAUAUAAUUGCAUUUCUUUAUGAUUGUUUUUUAUUUAUAGUUUGUGCAAUAUUUGUUAGUGAUAUGAUGCAAAAAUGAUAGAGCACAACGGUUUUUACGUGUUAUUUUAUUUCAGAGGAAUAAGCAACAAGCUAUUAUCAUGCUCGUGCUAACUUUAACGUAUUUGUUACGCGAUAAAAUGUUCAAUUUUGAUAUAUCUCACUUAGCGUAUUUAUAGACUGUCUAACAAACUUUUGCUGUGAUUUUUUGUUCUUUAAUUUAUUUCAUCAACUUCGAAAACUCUGAUUCUUAUGCAGACAAACAAUUCCUUAUUCUCUAUUCAGUCUAUUUCUCUCUAAUGUAAACGAUUUGUUGAAAUCACUAGACAAUUGAAAAAUUAAUGCAUACGUCUUUUGCUCUACUUGUAAACUGAUACCGAAAGAUAAAACGGUGUAGUUAACUUUUGUCUCUGAAAAAAAAAGAUGGAAAAAAAGAGAAAUAUUAAAUAUUUAGAAAAAAAAUUAUCCAAAUGGAAAUGUUAAAAUGUUUCUUUUUUUGUUUAAUCGUUUGUUUUUCUUAUAUAUCUAUAGUUAAAGUAGCUCUGAAAAGAAACUUUCAUGCUUUUCUUUUCUCUUCCCUUUAUCUUCUUUUCAAUAUAGUUGAUAAAAAAAUUUGCUGAAGUUAAAAAUUUAUUUUUCUUUUUUUAUUUCGUUUUCAUUGUAAAAGAAAUAAGUGCACGUUUUUCUUUUCAAUCUGUCAUUCAUUUCAUGGUAUAAAGAAAUAAUACAAUCA